Molecule: long non-coding RNA, 1039 nt
Filed under: Sorghum bicolor (sorghum)
Lineage: Eukaryota; Viridiplantae; Streptophyta; Magnoliopsida; Poales; Poaceae
Description: long non-coding RNA (SBIC_LNC015414)
Source: RNAcentral
CAGCACAAACUCGUGUGUGUUUUGCGUUCUCGUGUUGCCACUGUAUUCGUGCGUUCCAGGCGAGUGCACUGUUCAUCUUCUCCAUCUCCGGCGACGGGCGCUGGCGAUCCGGAGGCUACAGAGGUAUCUGGGGCUACCUACUGCCUUCGGAUGUGCUACCAAGGAGGCUUUUGAAUUCAUGCCAAACCGAAUCAGGAAUGUGGUGGGAACUUGGAGCGGCCGCGAAGCUAGCUGUGCAGGACAGGAGGUGCUGCUCAAGUCAGUUGUUCAAGCAGUGUCAACCUACCCCAUGAGCUGUUUUUUGAUCCCGAAGGAUUCUUACCACAAACUGAAAUUGGUGAUCGCAAAUUACUUGUUUGUGCUCACUUGGUAUCCCAUGAUAAUCAGGUGGUGGAGUGGCAUAAUACCCCACCUGGUAUUAUGGAUAUCAUAAACAAUGAUUUUAUUUUUGGACAUGAUUAAUGAAAGCUCCAAUUUUGCCUCAAAAAAAUAGCUGUGGCUAUCACAAAAAUCGUACCUUUUUUUUGGAUGAUCGUUGUGCUGACCAUCAUCUUCCAUUGUUGGUGGCACUUUACCGCGCCUUCUCUGGAUUCUCUUGGAGAGGAAGAGGAGACAGCCGGACUGGCAAAAAAUGAAGUUGCAAAAAGAAAUUAACUGAGAAAAGAACUUCCAUAUCCUACGCACCCAUUCACAGCAGAGAAUGAAGUACAUGAAGACUGCAGAGAAGGGGUUGGCACACCUAGUGGCAGCACCUAGGAGGACUUGAAGAAGCUGCUGCUAGUCUGCUACUCGACCCUUCUCUCGCCGAGCGGGAUGCGCCUGGCGGGCGUCAAACUUCACCGACGUCGCUGGCAGCGCGUCGUGGCGACCCCACGCGAUGGCUGGGGCGGGCGUCGAGUUUCACCGACGUCGCCGGCGGUGCGUCGUGGCGAUCCCACGCGAUGGCUAGGGCGUCGUGGCAUCGUGGCGGCACAUCGUGGGCAAAAAUACCCCACGACAUCGGUGAAGUUAGGGUUUACUGAUUUAGGGUGUACUCCCU